AAUAGAUACCCUGGUAGUCCACCCCGUAAACGUUGGGAACUAGUUGUGGGGUCCUUUCCACGGAUUCCGUGACGCAGCUAACGCAUUAAGUUCCCCGCCUGGGGAGUACGGCCGCAAGGCUAAAACUCAAAGGAAUUGACGGGGACCCGCACAAGCGGCGGAGCAUGCGGAUUAAUUCGAUGCAACGCGAAGAACCUUACCAAGGCUUGACAUACACCGGAAACGGCCAGAGAUGGUCGCCCCGCAAGGUCGGUGUACAGGUGGUGCAUGGUUGUCGUCAGCUCGUGUCGUGAGAUGUUGGGUUAAGUCCCGCAACGAGCGCAACCCUCGUUCUAUGUUGCCAGCACGUAAUGGUGGGAACUCAUGGGAUACUGCCGGGGUCAACUCGGAGGAAGGUGGGGAUGACGUCAAAUCAUCAUGCCCCUUAUGUCUUGGGCUUCACGCAUGCUACAAUGGCCGGUACAAAGGGCUGCAAUACCGUGAGGUGGAGCGAAUCCCAAAAAAGCCGGUCCCAGUUCGGAUUGAGGUCUGCAACUCGACCUCA
This 544-nucleotide ribosomal RNA is filed under the name uncultured bacterium. Its description in RNAcentral is "bacterial SSU rRNA". It matches the Rfam family "Bacterial small subunit ribosomal RNA", at positions 777 to 1320 of the family's 1533-position model. The record is from RNAcentral.